Salmo trutta (river trout) is the source of this 1477-nucleotide long non-coding RNA. The record is from Ensembl. Lineage: Eukaryota; Metazoa; Chordata; Actinopteri; Salmoniformes; Salmonidae.
GAUCCAUUUUGAGACGACAGAGCAGAAGACGCUAUAUGGAGAUUACUGACAAAUAAAAAUCUCCAACCACCUCAGAGAUCAGUCUCUCCAGUACCCAGUCAUCUGUCCAUGAAGAGUGACUUCUCUAUGGCUCAUCCUAUACACUUUAGUGAUGGAUCAGGGACCUUUGACCCCAGAAUCUCCAAGCAAACUCAGUCUCUCCAGAGAUCAGUCUCUCCAGUACCCAGUCAUCUGUCCAUGAAGAGCGACUUCUCUAUGGAUCAUCCUAUACAUUUUAGUAGUGGAUCACGGACCUUUGACCCCAGAAUCUCCAAGCAAACUCAGUCUCUCCAGAGACCAGUCUCUCCAGUACCCAGUCAUCUAUCCAUGAAGAGUGACUUCUCUAUGGAUCAUCCUAUACAUUUUAGUAAUGGAUCAGAGACCGUUGGAAGCAGAAUCUCCAAGCAAACUCAGUCUCUCCAGAGAUCAGUCUCUCCAGUACCCAGUCAUCUGUCCAUGAAGAGCGACUUCUCUAUGGAUCAUCCUAUACAUUUUAGUAGUGGAUCAGGGACCGUUGACCCCAGAGGCUACUACCACACUCAGACAGCACAGUGUACUGUUCCCAGCUGUCUGUCUAUGAACAGUGACUUCUCCAUGGAUCGUCCUGUUAAUUCCAGUGGUGGAAGAUCAAUCACCUUUGACCGAAGGUACGUCACCAGAUUUUUGUUGUUGUAAUUUCAGAAUGUUCAAGAUGUCAUAUAGCUAUGUUGUUGUAAUUUGUUGUAACUGAGUUUAUUAGAGUAAUUACUGCACCCUCCUAUAUCUCUAGUGGAUGGUCUACUCUGUUAGUGGAUCAGUAUCUCUCUCUCUCUCUCUCUCCUUUAUCUCUGUAUUGGAUGGUCUACUCUGUUAGUGGAUCAGUAUCUCUCUCUCUCCUUUAUCUCUGUAGUGGAUGGUCUACUCUGUUAGAGGAUCAGUCUCUCUCUCUCCUUUAUCUCUGUAGUGGAUGGUCUACUCUGUUAGAGGAUCAGUAUCUCUCUCUCUCCUUUAUCUCUGUAGUGGAUGGUCUACUCUGUUAGAGGAUCAGUAUCUCUCUCUCCUUUAUCUCUGUAGUGGAUGGUCUACUCUGUUAGAGGAUCAGUAUCUCUCUCUCUCCUUUAUUUCUGUAGUGGAUGGCCUACUCUGUUAGAGGAUCAGUAUCUCUCUCUCCUUUAUCUCUGUAGUGGAUGGUCUACUCUGUUAGAGGAUCAGUAUCUCUCUCUCCUUUAUCUCUGUAGUGGAUGGUCUACUCUGUUAGAGGAUCAGUAUCUCUCUCUCCUUUAUCUCUGUAGUGGAUGGUCUACUCUGUUAGAGGAUCAGUAUCUCUCUCUCCUUUAUCUCUGUAGUGGAUGGUCUACUCUGUUAGAGGAUCAGUAUCUCUCUCCUUUAUCUCUGUAGUGGAUGGUCUACUCUGUUAGAGGAUCAGUAUCUCUCUCUCCUUUAUCUCUGUAGUGGAUGG